UUCUCCUGCCAUGGAAAGAACCAUUGAAUGUUACACAUUAAACAAGUCUAAUAUCAUUAGAAUUACUUUCCUAAUUAGAUGACAGGUGAUUGAUUCCUUGUUUUGUGUGUGUGUGUGUGUUUAAAUUCGUGUAUUAGAAAACAAAAAAGGAAAUGAAAAAAGAGGAGCCUUACUUGCAGUCAUGCCACAAGUUAUUUCCAUUUUCUGGGGCUUUGGCAGUUUUUAUCGAAUAUAUUUCUUAUUGUUCCCUGAGUAAUCCCUCAUCUCAUCCCUUUAUUCUUGUUUCCUGUGACUCCUAUCCAUAGUUGAACCACCAGAACUAUCUUAAUUUUCUUAUCUAAUCUCAUUUUUCAUAUCUGACUUUUUAUCCUAAUUUAUGUGAGGUGUCUGUCCUUGGUCUUCUGAACACUCUUAAUUUUUUGAAAAAAUUCUGCUAUUAUAAGUACAUGUUUCCAAAAGUACUUGUUCUCUGGUACUCUUUUUUUAAAACAGCAUCCUGUUCUUGUUUCAUAGAUGAAAUUUCUCAUAUCUCUCAGGAUAUUGAUUAGAAGUUUACUUCUGUUAGUAUUUUCUGUAUAUCUUCCAAGUUCUUUUUUUUUUUUUCCUGUUUUGGUUCCCAGUUAGUGUGUGUGUGUGUAGUAAAUAUAUAUAUGUAUGCGUUUACUUACUGCCCUUAUUUUAGUACAAGUGUUUUAAAAUGAGAAUAUUUCCUGCAUAAUAUAAAAUCUAAUACCCAGUCCAUAUUUAAAUUUCUCCAUUUGUUAAAAAAAAGUCCUUUAUAGCUAGUUUCUUCAGAUAAGGAUCUAUAUAUAAAAAUUGGCCAUUGUCUCCUAGGUUUCUUAUAGUCUAGAAUAAAUCAUUUUUCAUUACAUUGACUUUUGACAGGCUGGACCAGAUGUCCUACCCUUUUGGAAUUGUCUAGUUAUUUAUUUGUAGUAUGACAUUUCUUUAUUCCUGUAUGUACAUCAAACUUGAAGUUAGAUCUAAAGUGUCAGUCAAUUUAAGUGAAACAUUUUAUAUCUUAGGUAAUGUAUACUUCAUGUUGCAUCUUAUUAGAUGUUUUUAAAGCUUUAUAUAUAUAUAAGUUGAAUCUUGUUGACUUUCUCAAAAUCCUGAGGAAUCUGCAGUGCAUCAACAUCUCCACAGUAGGUACCAUAAAUGGUUAACAGUUUCUGUAAGGCAACUUUGCACUAGCCUAUUUUGAGCAUAGAACACAACUUUGAAGAUUAAAUCCCAUCCAGGGACUGAUUGGUAGAAGACAACUAGUCAGGGAACAUAGGAGGGAAAUACUUAAUUGCCAUAAAGUGGGUAGAUACCAGUCCACAAAUAAUUCUGAAUUAACUACGAAUAUGCUGUUUCAUGUUUGUAGACUCAUAGAUGUUUUGUGUUAUUAGUGGCUGUUCUGGAUUAUAAACUCCCAUGAGAGGUUAUUUUAAAAUCAGAAUUUUUCAUUUUUAAUAUUUAUCACUACUGCUUAUAUCCUCACUUUAACCUACCUAAUGCUGUUUCACUCAAAUGUCUUUUCUUUCUUCCCUGUAACAGUUGUGCAGAAGAUUCUGACCUUAUUUGAGGCUUACAUAUAGGUUUGGAGAUGUGGAAAGGAGUGGAAAAAGAAAUAUGUAAGCUGAAGUGCCAAACUCACACUGAAAUAAAGGGCAUGGCCCACCAGCUGACAAGGAGUGUCUGGUUUCAAGAUGGCAAAUGACCCUAAACAUGAUAGACAAAUAUGUUUUACAUAGGUACAUGCACAGAUAGGCACAUAUAAAUCCACAUUUGCAAGCAAAAAGUGGAACCUGUAAAGCAGAAUUUCUGAGGAAUCUCUAAAAGACUAAUACUGUAUGGAAUUUGAAGAGGAAACCCAGAGCAGAAGCACAUAGUGAAGUACUGCCACAAAGAUGUGUGACGCCACUAAAGGUGCUGUAGACCCACAAGAAAGGAAAACUGGGAGCAGGACAACUAUCUGGAUAUUGACUGCACAUGCCAAUAUCUCAGUCAGACUAACAGAAUCAGAGCUUUAGGCAGAGAAAUGAAUGGUUGGAGAGAGAAGGCAAUGCCCAGGUGCCCUGCUUUGAAAUGUCCCGCCCAUCCCCAAAUUAGUCUGAAAAUUUCAAAUGUAGUAUAAAUUCCCUUCCCAUCAAAAGUGUCCCAUAAACAGCAGUGGUAGAAGAGUUUUAACUGAGUAUCACAGCUUCAAUGAUGAGUAUAGAAAACUCCAAAAAUCUGAAUACCAACACAAUCAAAAAAGAGGUACAAACCACAAGUGGAAGAACCAUCUCAAGAAAUAAUGAAGCAUUCAUGGAAUACAGAUUAGCAACUCUUUAAAACAGUAUUGCCAAGAGAAACAGGUAAGAGGCCCUCUGGAGAAAUGUCAGAAAUAGAAAAUGUAAAUUUUCAAAUGUUAAAAUCAUCACUAGGCUAAGAAACAGAAUGGACACAGCUGAAAAUCAAAAUCAGGGUCUGGAAGAGGAAUUCCAUAACUUGAUGGAACAGAGUGAUAGAAAAUAUGGAGGGAAAAAGACCGCAGUGGGGUAACAAGAUGAGACUAGAAAGAAUGAAAAGGAGGGAAUAGUUGAAGAAGUGAUAGCUGAAGUGUUUUCCAGAAUCAAUAUUAAACCCUAAGAUUUCAACGAUGCACUUGCAUGUCAAACAGCAAAUGAAAAAAUCAUAAAUGCAUCACAGAUGAUGAUACCCUGAAAGUUAUUAAUACAAGAAAACAGCAUGGCAGGAGUAAUCUAAACGUACUAAAAUGGUAACUAGAAUUGUGAGAGGUGGAUUUUAAAAUGUAUGUGUGUGUGAAAACGUGUGUAGGUGUUAAAAGUGUCCAUUCUUUUAAUAACAUUUUGCUGUAGCAUUUAAGCAAAUCGUAGACAAUUAACGUUUCUCUUAUUUUCUACAAGCAAUUCCCCACUCUUCUGAAAACAUCAAAUUUUGUGAAGGAAUCUUAACUUUCACAAAAGUUGAUUUUUUUUUUUUGAGACGGAGUCUCGCUCUGUCUCCCAGGCUGGAGUGCAGUGGCGCGAUCUCGGCUCACUGCAAACUCCGCCUCCCGGGUUCACGCCAUUCUCCUGCCUCAGCCUCCCGAGUAGCUGGGACUACAGGUGGCUGCCACCACGCCCGGCUAUUUUUUUUUUUUUGUAUUUUUAGUAGAGACGGGGUUUCACCGUGUUAUCCAGGAUGGUCUCGAUCUCCUCACCUCGUGAUCCGCCCGCCUCGGCCUCCCAAAGUGCUGGGAUUACAGGCGUGAGCCACCGCGCCCGGCCAAAAGUUGAUUUUUAAAUUAAAUUUUAUUCAAAUGUUUUCUUCACAUUUAUUUUCCUUCUAAUUCGUUACUGUCUUGUAAGGUUUUCAUGGACCCUUGAAACAGUAGGAAAUGUAUGACAAUUCUACACAUCCUCUUCACCUGUUCUAUUGAUAAACCUCCCAGCCUUUCAGUUCUUGCUCUCCCAAUCCUCUCCUAGAGUUCAUCCUAAGAUCACACUUUCAUAGCAUUUCUCAUAUAUCCUGUCUUUACUUCCUUCCCUUUUAUUCAUCCAACAACUUUACAGGGAACCAAUUACAUGGCAAGCAUUAUUCUAAACCCUAGGUAAGCAAAACUAGGAUUUGUAGCAGCCCUUGUCGUUUACAGGUGUUAAGGAAUGCAAUUGUAAUGUGAUAGGAAAAUAUUCAUUUCAGUUGUGAAACUACAUGAUGUUGCUGAGAAUGUAUAAGAGUGCUAGUAAGAGCUCUAGGAAAGGCUUCCCCAGAUGAAGUGACAGACUCCAAAUAUGAACAGAAAUAGCUGAUAGCUAGGGGAAGGAGGAGAAUAGCAUGUACAAUGGCCCAAGGGAACAGGACAAAUUUGGGAACUGAACAGCUAUGUAGUGUAGAGUAAGGAAGCAUGGUGAGAAAGAAUCAUGAGGGAGAAGCCAGCCUAUGUAGAUAGGGCUUUAAGGUGUUAAGAAUAUUCCUUCUCGAAUGAUUUAAAGGGAUGGGGUGGGGAGCAGGUGUGACAUUAGAUUUGCAUUUUGAGGAGGUCACUGCCUACAGUGAUUAAAGGGAAAAAUGGAUUAAAAGUCUAUUUCAGCAGUAUAGAUAAGAGAUCAUGUUGGACUGUGAGAGCAGUCGAAGGCACAAAAGGAACUCAAACACAUAAGAUCAUAUUGACAACUUGGCAAUUGGUUUAGACCAAGUUGGAGGAAGUGUGGGUGACAAAGACUGAGCUCUAUGUUUCUGGCUUGCUCGUGUGGGUUAUGGUGCUAUUGUUCCUCCUCUUCCAUCUAUCUGAGACCUAAUUUCAGAAUUACAGAAAACUUGAAAUAGAACAAAAAAUUUCUGUAUACCCUUUUCUGAAAUCCCCCAAAUGUUAACAUCGUAUCACAUUUGCUUUACCUCCUUCUUUCAGACCACAAAUUUAGUUGCUGACAUGAUGCCCCUUUAGCCCUAAAUACAUCAAUGUGUAUUUCUCAAAACAAAGGACAUUCUCUUAUGUAGCCAUGCAGUUCAGUACCAUUAGCUAAUCUAUAGACCUUAUUCAGAUUUCACUAAUAUCUCUAUGUUAUUUACAGAUAAUUUCAACUAUUCAUUGCAGAUAGCAUUGCAGUUGUCAGAUCUCAUUAAGGUCUUAUAUCUGAAACAGUUCCACUGUCUUCCAUAACUUUCAUAACUUUGAAUAUUUUGGUAAGUAUAAACCCUUAAAUUGGUUUUGUCUGGUAUUCCUCAUGAUUAAACUAGUCAUCCAUUCACUUUUCAA
This is a long non-coding RNA of Pan troglodytes (chimpanzee), 4729 nucleotides long. RefSeq lists it as uncharacterized. Lineage: Eukaryota; Metazoa; Chordata; Mammalia; Primates; Hominidae. The transcript has 2 exons. The record is from RefSeq and is a predicted model, not a curated record.